Molecule: ribosomal RNA, 385 nt
Filed under: uncultured bacterium
Lineage: Bacteria
Description: bacterial SSU rRNA
Rfam family: Bacterial small subunit ribosomal RNA
Source: RNAcentral
AGCGAACGCUGGCGGCAUGCUUAACACAUGCAAGUCGCACGAGGGGGCAACCCCUAGUGGCGGACGGGUGAGUAACGCGUAGGUAUCUAUCCUGGGGGUGGGGGAUAACAGCGGGAAACUGCUGCUAAUACCGCAUGACACCUGAGGGUCAAAGGCGCGAGUCGCCUUAGGAGGAGCCUGCGUCCGAUUAGCUAGUUGGUGGGGUAACUGCCUACCAAGGCGACGAUCGGUAGCUGGUCUGAGAGGAUGAUCAGCCACAUUGGGACUGAGACACGGCCCAAACUCCUACGGGAGGCAGCAGUGGGGAAUAUUGGACAAUGGGCGAAAGCCUGAUCCAGCAAUGCCGCGUGGAUGAAGAAGGUCUUCGGAUUGUAAAGUCCUUUCG